Molecule: long non-coding RNA, 3237 nt
Organism: Astatotilapia calliptera (eastern happy)
Lineage: Eukaryota; Metazoa; Chordata; Actinopteri; Cichliformes; Cichlidae
Source: Ensembl
CACCCCAGACAUGAAAAGAAGAACUCAGAGUUUCAAUUUCUUAAAGAUGACUUCAGCAUUCAGGACCAACAACAUGAAAAGCAGUUUCCUGCUCAUUAUGUUCCUGCUGACAGCCUGUGAGAUGUCACAACAGAAUGAAUGCAGAACAUGGGUUGAAGUCACCUGCAAGACACUAAAAACUAAAGAAACACAUUAUGUAAAGUAUGAAAGCAACCAAAUCCCAAAGGCGGUCUUCAGGGAACUUAAAAGUGAGGAAUCCUAUAAGAAAAUGUGCAAGAAUUCAUCUGGCAAAGAGAAACCGUCUGUGAAAAGCGUAUGCCUGAAGCAAUUUAAUCAAAUUGCGUACAGAACAACUAAAACCACGAUCAAAUGUGAUUAUGAAGGAGACAACAAACCAUUUUUUUUCUGCAAAGACAAUAACUCUGUCUGUGAGAACAUGGUAUUAUCUCCUCAACAGUCAAACAGCAGAUUCACUUUCACAAAGACAAACAGAAACUUCAUCCUGUCCAUCAGUAACGUGUCCUCACAGGAUGAAGGUGUCUACUGGUGUGGAGUGAAAUUUAAAAAAGAGGUCGUGCUCCAGAAAAUACAACUGGAUGUGGAACAUAUUACUAAUUUCACAAGAUCACCAGCUGCUGGUCAGAACUUCUCAUACUGGUGUAAAUGCAAAGAGAAGGCCUCACCUUCAAAAUCAAUCUGUAAGGGAGACGAUCCAUCUAUAUGUCAAACUCUAGUAACGACCAAUGAGCCUGAUAAGAACAAGAAGUUUUACAUAAAUGAUAAAGACAGGACAAAUAUUACUGUUACAAUAAGAAAUGUAACAGCAGAUGACAGCGGGACAUACUGGUGUCGAGCGAAAAACGACAACCAACAAAUCUGCAACAGACUGAUCCUGACUGUAGGAUCACCAACAACAUCCACGUCUACCAUUUCAUCAACUACAGCGACGACUACAGCGACGACUACAGCUGCAGCUGCAGCUGCUGGGACACGUGGCGUCUCUGAGGCCAUCAUUUCUGUGAUCGUCUGUGUGGCUGUGCUGCUUUUUGUGAUACUGAUGAUCCUAAUCUAUAAACGAUUUUCACGUUCAAAAAACACAGGAAAUGGUGCAGCAGCAUGCCGUACCAAAGAGGACUGUACCUAUGAGGAGAUACAGGAGCGCCUCCAGCUGCCAGACUCAGAAAAUGCAACAAACACAAUUUAUGCCACCGUCAGCUCUCCAAACCCUGUGCCCUCAACACAUUAUGCUACCAUUAACUUUCAAAACUCCGAUAAAGCUGCUGCUGAGACAGUCAGACUCGGCUACUCUGCCUGUGAAUAUUCUACUGUGAAGUUUCCCAAAUGUCGAACUGACUCGAGUGACACCCAACUGUACCCGCCGACCGAGGAGCCGCUCUACUCAACAGUCAACAAGCUAAGAAAAUGAGAUCAUUUAUUUAAAGAAUAUAACAGAUUUAUGAAUAAAAAUAAUGUAUUUAGUGUUUGAGUCACAGUGAUUUUGUGAUGGUGUUUUGGUGCUGAUCUGUUCUGAGAUCUUAGAUUUUAUUUCCCCGUGAAGAUAAUUGGCGCGAUAUGGCAGCCUCGCUUCUGUCAGUCUGCCCCAGGGCAGCUGUGGCUACAACUGUAGCUUGCCUCCACUAGUGUAUGAAUGUGAGAGUGAAUGAAUAGUGGUAUUGCAAAGCGCUUUGGGUGCCUUGAAAAGCGCUAUAUAAAUCCAAUCCAUUAUUAUUAUUAUUAAAGCCUAUCAGGAAGAUACGGACCUGCCUCUUUCACAGGAGGAGAAGCCAACAAAGAGGUCAAGUGCUUUUGUACCACACUGUGGUACGAUACACAACAUCCACACUUAGAGCCACUGACUUUAACCACAAUGAAUGUGAAAGUAUCCUAAGCAUCUGGAUUGAAUAAUAAUAUAUCAAAAGAAUUAGCUGUUAUUUAUAACUUAACUCUCUACAGCACAGCAUUGCUGCUGGGCAACAACAUGCCCAGUACAGGUGAAAUGAACUGAGCCAACCAAUCAGAGUGUUGGAAAAAGUAUCAAAUUUCAGUCCUAUAAGAUGUUCGAGUCACUGUCGAGCAGUAUUAGUACGGUGGGGCAUCCUGUUCUGACACAUGGUCACAGGACCAGAUGAUGUGUGAAGCUGCCAUUGUAAGUGUAAUUAAAAUGACAAACUGUAAAUAAAAGAGUACAUGUGAGUGUAAGAAGAUAUAGAGGGUUUUUUUUUCAUGUUUCAUGCUGUGUUUUCAUUUUGAAUGUUAAAAAAAAUGUUUUUUCCUUCUUUCCAUUGCCCUUGUGUGAUAAAGGGAACUUUUUAAGGGAGCCAUAUGUAAUACACACACACACACACACACACACACACACACACACACACACACACACACACACACACACAGAUAUAUAUAUAUAUGCAUGUAUGUAUAUACCACUCCUAUGUUCUUUGUCCCACUUCAGUCUAAGAUCGUCUGUAACCAUGUAACCAAAACUAUGAAUUGUAAUUUUAAAUGGUUUAAAAGUAUAUAGAAUAGCAUAUGUAGGCAAGUAUAUUUCUCCUUUUGUUAUCAAGAAGCAAAGACAGAAAGGGGAAAAAAAGAACAAACAGGGCAGGGUUUGGUGGUUGAAUCAUCCGUCCCCACCAAUGCCAAAACCAAAUCUACGCCCUUGGACUAUAAAAGUCAAAGUGAAUUGAAUCAAGAGUAAAGAUGAGGAUUCCUGUGUGCACAGAAACAAAAAAGUGAUGUGUCUGAAGUGCAAUGUGCACCUCUGUUUUACAGCACAGAACUCUCUCUUCAACACUUUCUAUUGUUUUUAUUGCUUUCAGUUGUGUUAUGAUCUAUGAGUUAUGUUUAUAUAUAUACUGUUGUUGCACAAUGUUUCCUCUAAGCAAUGAAAAAUAUCUUGAAGAGGUUGUCUGGAAUACAUUUUUUGUAUCAGUCAGUAAAUGAUGUUAAAUCAUUUCCAGCAUGUACCACGAAAAUGUGUGCAGUAGUAGUUAAACAGUUUGCUUGACUUCAAUAUUUUCAUGCUUAAAUAUAUCCACGGUGCUGUGUGUAUCGGACAUAUUGUUUACAUCAGUGUUUUUGCUUUGUAAGAGAUAAUUUACCCCUGCUGUACAUAGAAACCGCCUGGAAGCUGUCCGUCUGUCUACGGUGCAGUUUUAUGAGUUAUAAUGUGACCAGUUUUAAUCGGGGGGAUAAUUUAUCAUGUUUAUUCAACAACUGUUUGUCAGUUUUAUAUUUGUC